UCUUGCUUAGAUGAGUGUUCCU
RNAcentral lists this microRNA (22 nucleotides) under Asparagus officinalis (garden asparagus). Its description in RNAcentral is "aof-miR828". Its record names the gene aof-miR828. The record is from miRBase by way of RNAcentral. Lineage: Eukaryota; Viridiplantae; Streptophyta; Magnoliopsida; Asparagales; Asparagaceae.